RNAcentral lists this ribosomal RNA (497 nucleotides) under uncultured bacterium. RNAcentral describes it as "partial 16S ribosomal RNA". It matches the Rfam family "Bacterial small subunit ribosomal RNA", at positions 28 to 507 of the family's 1533-position model. The record is from RNAcentral.
GAUGAACGCUGGCGGCGUGCCUAAUACAUGCAAGUCGAGCGAACAGACGAGGAACUUGCUCCUCUGACUUUAGCUUCAGACGGGUUAGUUACACGUGGAUAACCUACCUAUAAGACUGCGUUACCUUCACGAAACCGUAGCUAAUACCGGCUAAUAUAUUUACCCUCAUGGUUAUAUAUUAAAAGACGUUUUUGCUUUCACUCAUCGAUGGAUCCGCGUGGCAUUAGCUCGUAGGUAAGGUAACGGCUUAUCAAGGCAACCAUGCGUAGCCGACAUGAGAGGGAGAACGGCCAAACGGGAACAGAGAGACGACCGAGACAUCUAAGGUAGGAAGCAGUAGAGAAUCCUCCGCAAUGGGCGAAAGGGUGACGGAGCAAAGCCGAGUGAGUGAUGAAGGUCUGAGGAUCGGAAAACGAUGUUAGAAGUGAAGAACAAAUGUGUAAGUAAAUAUGAACGAAUUGACGGUACCUAAGCAGAAAGCCACGGCUAACUACGUG